AAGGACACAAAUCACUGAGCUUUUGAAUUUUGGAUUAACUCUAUCCAUUUUAUUUCUGCAGUUCUGGACUUUCCCUGGACAGAGAUAUUCUCUGCAACAAGAAAAGCAAGAGGCUCCCUCCGUUGCAUGUGGAUAAAAUCGAGGCAGAGAAGAGCAUAUGCAGAUCAGAUUCUGCAGCUGCACACACAUGGCUGGAACACUCUUGAGAGGCC
This is a long non-coding RNA of Rhea pennata, 212 nucleotides long. RefSeq lists it as uncharacterized. The transcript is spliced from 3 exons. NCBI's taxonomy places the organism in Eukaryota, Metazoa, Chordata, Aves, Rheiformes, Rheidae. The record is from RefSeq and is a predicted model, not a curated record.